Molecule: long non-coding RNA, 1891 nt
Organism: Myxocyprinus asiaticus (Chinese sucker)
Lineage: Eukaryota; Metazoa; Chordata; Actinopteri; Cypriniformes; Catostomidae
Exons: 3
Source: RefSeq, a predicted model, not a curated record
AGAUACUGAAUCACAGUCUCUUCAUGGUUUUAUGACUUCAUGUUGUGUACAAUCAUUUCAUAACCAUAAAUCUUAGUGGAUUAUCUGGUGGGAUCGAAACUGUGAAUGUAGGAAUCCUCUGCAAGUGUUUGAAUUCACAGACAUCCAGCGCUUUGAAGACUGACACUCAACUCUGGGGGGACGCACAUUUUGAGAUUUCAUUCAUGAGUGGUUGGAGAAGAUUUGAGAGGUGUUACCCUGAUGGUGUUUAUUGUUUGUGUGAGUGACACUGAGCACCGUCUCUACAUGUUUAUUCGUCAUUGCUCUUGGAAAGGCCACUAUUGAUGAACUUCAUGUCAUCAUGUGCCUUUCUGUAAUAAAUAUGGUGAGUAACAAUACAUUAUAAAGUGAAAAGCAGAUUUUUUACAGUUUCAGAAGGUUAAAGUACUAAGUUUAUAUCAUUUACUAUAUAAACGGUAAUUUUAUCUUACAUUUAUGCAUUUGGCAGAUGCUUUUAUCCAAAGCGACUUACAGUGCACUUAUUACAGGGACAAUCCCCUGGAGCAACCUGGAGUUAAGUGCCUUGCUCAAGGACACAAUGGUGAUGGCUUGAACCAUGGGGAUUGAACCAGCAACCUUUUGUUACCAGUUAUGUGCUUUAGCCCACUACACCACCACCACUCCAUUUAAUCAGGAUAUUUUUUUAUUUAUUUAUUUAUUUUUUUUUCACAGUGCAGGACCCUAUAAUAAGUGUGCAAAGAAGACAGAACUAAAAGAAUAUUCUGUCUUAGACUGUCACGCCCUGCAGUUAGGUGCAUAUGGAACCAACACAGACAGUCCUCAUUUCUACCCUAUGCACAACAUGUGUGAGUUAUAGCACUUCAACAAGCUUCAUGAACUUUAUAGCUUUUUGGUCUAUUUCAAAGAUUCAAGCUACUGUAGGUGCAUAUGGAAAGACCACAAAAACAGAUGCCAAACAACAGUUCUACCCUAACAGUAUGCACUACACAUGAAAGCAGUGGCACUUAGAAAGCUUUAUGAGAACUGUGUGUCAUAAAGGAUAAUAAAACCGAUAAAAUUCUAUUACAACUCAAUACACAGCUUUAUAGAUUUUUGUUCUAUUUCAAAGAUUAAUUCUUCAAUAAGAGCAAGGGGUACAGAAUGCUUUCAUUGCACACAUCUAAAAUGCCACAACUGUGUGGACAAACAUUUGCUGGAGUAUCACGUAGACCUUUGGUUUUCCCAUUUUCCUACAUCUCUGUUCCAAAGAUAUUAUCUAGAAACAAAGCAUAUUGGUACUCUGACACAAAAUCAGGUUGCUUCACAAAAUUAAGCCAAAUAAUAUAUUUGUUACAAAUUUAUUGGGACCGAGGGCUGGCAAAGACAAAACUUUUCACAGCCAUACUCAGCCAGAUUUCAUGAAAUACUCUAGUGUUUUCACUAAACACUAAACUUUUGCAAAAAUAUUAUGUGGCUCCUUAUAUCGAGGCAGUUGAGGUGCUAAAAGCGAGUUUUCCAAAAAAGAUGAGGUUUUUAAUGCUAAUGCUCUAUCGAUUUUUAAAUCAACUAAAAACCUACCUUCCUCCUCACCGUAAACCUAACCGAUAGUGUCAUAAAAUGCAAAUGUGAGAGAAAACAAGCAAUUGCUGAAGCAACCACGUGAUUUUGCUGUGCUUGUAUGAACUGUGUGUUGACUUGUAUGCUCUUCAGGACUCAUACCCAUGUCCUACCACACAAUUUGUGCUCACUCAAACAAACUUAUAAAUGUAGCUGGUUAUGUAAUGCAAACACUGAAAUGUAUUGCCUUACACUAUAAACAUACAAAUAAAAUGUUUUGAUGUAAAGGUAGGAUUGUGCUUAUUAACUGAUAAUCUACUCAAAAAAAGUAAUUGCAAUACAUACAAUGAGCCAC